This 76-nucleotide transfer RNA is filed under the name Sphingomonas paucimobilis. RNAcentral's name for it is "tRNA-Thr(cgt)". It matches the Rfam family "tRNA". From Rfam's summary of the family: Transfer RNA (tRNA) molecules are approximately 80 nucleotides in length. Their secondary structure includes four short double-helical elements and three loops (D, anti-codon, and T loops). The record is from RNAcentral. Lineage: Bacteria; Pseudomonadati; Pseudomonadota; Alphaproteobacteria; Sphingomonadales; Sphingomonadaceae. RNAcentral also lists the same sequence under 219 other names.
GCCGCUUUAGCUCAGCUGGUAGAGCAUCGCAUUCGUAAUGCGGGGGUCACAGGUUCGAGUCCUGUAAGCGGCACCA